This 253-nucleotide ribosomal RNA is filed under the name uncultured bacterium. RNAcentral describes it as "partial 16S ribosomal RNA". It matches the Rfam family "Bacterial small subunit ribosomal RNA", at positions 524 to 776 of the family's 1533-position model. The record is from RNAcentral.
UACGUAGGGGGCAAGCGUUGUCCGGAUUCAUUGGGCGUAAAGCGAGUGUAGGCGGUCUGCUAAGUCGGGUGUGAAAGCCCUGGGCUCAACCCAGGAAGUGCACUCGAAACUGGCGGGCUAGAGUAUCGGAGAGGUUGGUGGAAUUCUCGGUGUAGAGGUGAAAUUCGUAGAUAUCGAGAGGAACACCGGUGGCGAAGGCGGCCAACUGGACGAAUACUGACGCUGAGACUCGAAAGCGUGGGGAGCAAACAGG